Molecule: ribosomal RNA, 507 nt
Filed under: uncultured bacterium
Lineage: Bacteria
Description: partial 16S ribosomal RNA
Rfam family: Bacterial small subunit ribosomal RNA
Source: RNAcentral
AUUGAACGCUGGCGGCAGGCCUAACACAUGCAAGUCGAGCGGCAGCGGAAGGAAGCUUGCUUCCUUGCCGGCGAGCGGCGGACGGGUGAGUAAGGUAUGGGGAUCUGGCCGAAGGCGGGGGAUAACCACUGGAAACGGUGGCUAAUACCGCAUAAUCUCUAAGGAGCACAGGUGGGGCCCGCGCAGGCCUAACACCUUCGGAUGAACCCAUAUGAGAUUAGCUAGUAGGUGGGGUAAUGGCUCACCUAGGCGACGAUCUCUAGCUGGUCUGAGAGGAUGAUCAGCCACACUGGGACUGAGACACGGCCCAGACUCCUACGGGAGGCAGCAGUGGGGAAUAUUGCGCAAUGGGCGCAAGCCUGAUGCAGCCAUGCCGCGUGUAUGAAGAAGGCCUUCGGGUUGUAAAGUACUUUCAGUCGCGAGGAAGGUGUUAAGGUUAAUAACCUUAGCAAUUGACGUUAGCGACAGAAGAAGCACCGGCUAACUCCGUGCCAGCCGCCGCCGUAA